This 123-nucleotide long non-coding RNA is filed under the name Pogona vitticeps (central bearded dragon). Its description in RNAcentral is "lncRNA (ENSPVIG00000002794.1)". Lineage: Eukaryota; Metazoa; Chordata; Lepidosauria; Squamata; Agamidae. The record is from RNAcentral.
GUUAGUUGUAUCUCUGCAAGACUUCGGAGUAUGCCUUUCGUCACAAAGAGCAGGCACCAUGAAAAGCCAGUGUUCCCAGGGCUUUCAGAAAUCCUUCAAAUGUCCACUUUUUGCAGCAUGAAG